ACGUUCAACAACACUUAUUCUGAAAUUGUAAUGAUACAGACGAGAUUAGCAUUGCCCCUGCACAAGUAUAAUACAGUAACUCGUGAAGCAGAAUUCUUCAUU
Molecule: small nuclear RNA, 102 nt
Filed under: Neogobius melanostomus (round goby)
Lineage: Eukaryota; Metazoa; Chordata; Actinopteri; Gobiiformes; Gobiidae
Source: RNAcentral